GUUAUCUAGACAGAGAACCUUCUCGCAACAAACGGCAAUCAUCUCGGUUUUGCUAAUAUCAAAAGGCUUCCCUGAGCGGAAAGAAUAGGAAAUAAUUGGUGCGAAACGGCUAAUAGGUUCACGAAGUGGGCUCCCUAUGAUCCCCGUAAGGACCCAGUCCUUGGAGUUAUACGGGAUCAAAAAGUCGAAUGGGUACUCGUCAUGUGUAAGAGUCUUUCGAACUAAUCUCUGCAAGUAAAUAUAAAUAGAGAGAGAGAGAGAGAGAGUUGAUGAAAACGAAUUCAAAAAAGGAAAAAAAAAAAAAAACUCCCGACAGAACAAAGAAGACAACAAACCUGCUCAGCUGUCUCGUUCGGGUAUUUGUAUGAGUAGUCGCAAACCUGGGGUCGGCUGGGAUUCAAAAGCAAAGCCAAUUUCUGGAAACAAAGAAAAAGAAAAACAAUUUCAAGUCGGUCCACACAAAAAAAAAAGGAGUAAUUUGAAUAAACAAUUGUACCCUGGAAUCGUCUUUCUUGUUGAUUGAAGUAAGGAACUGGAUCAAGGCAGGGUCUGGUCGUGAAUUGGGAUCAAAGCAUAUAUCUGCGCUUCUUGGGUCGUAAAAUUUUAGAAAUUCAUUCCAUGUUCCGUGCUCCCCUGACAAACCCAUACGAUGCACUGUUUUCGUCAGCUCUACUAACUCCUACAACCACAAUCAACCACGUUAAAAUAGAGAGAGAGAGAGCCAAAACGACCAAAAAUCUAAUCCCCAAAAAUAUAUAUAACUCUAUUGUCGAUCACUUACCGUUCUCUCCCUUGUGGCUAUUAUGUACUCCAUAACCUAGACCCGAGCUUGCGGAAUACCUAGAAUAGAAGAUAUAAAACUAUUGUUAGGUUCGGCUUUCAACUUUUAUACACAAGUCCCAAUGACACAUUGGGCUUUUUAGAGAUGUUUAUUUACUGAAAAAAGAAAGUUUUACUUUUAUCAUUCAUCAGUAUAUAUAUCUCAACUAUAUAUAUAAGAAGGUUAUCUUUCUAUGAAUUUGAUUAUCAAUUUGGUCUCGUUUGGUCCGGCCGCAAUAUUUUAAGAUGGUAACCGUUCAGGUUAUUGUGUUUUUUAGUUUGAUUUCGGAUCAGAUAAUUUCAGUUCGGUUUGAGCCAAUAAGAAGGUGGUCCAUGAUCCAGAACCAAUCUAGAAGAGAGAUGCAAGAUCAACACAGUGAUGUAUAUGGAGGUGGGGCAAGUUCGGAUUCUAAGAGUAAAGUGUUUCCGGAGAUUGUUAGGAAGCAGAGUGCUGAUGAGUCUUGGAAAGUUACUAAGAGAGGAAAGGCUCGUGUGGAGGAUAAGCAUCAGAUGUACAUGUCUGAAGCAGAACUGCAAAUGUAUGAGCCGAGUCAGUUACCAUUAUGAGGAAGGAGAAAUGUAAAACUCUCUUCCUUUUAUUUCUUGAGAGAGAUAAUGAUCUUAAUGUGUUGUGUGUGGAUGUGUCUAAUACUUUUGAUUUUGCACAAAAACAGUUUAGGUUUCAAGAGUGGGUGUUGGAUGUGGAUGAAGAGAGUAAUGGUUGUGGAGGAGGGGAGAUGGAGAUUGAAGGAAUCCAAACAAGAACGGUUGAAGCAAGGACAAGAGGUUUGGUUCCAGUGUGGGGUUAUCUCCAGUCUUCAAAACCCCAACAAGUGAUGAGAGAGUGAGUUUCUGGAAUCUGCUUACUCUCACUAGUUUUUUUUUCUCUCGACACUAAUACUAUGCCACAGAUCAUUCCAGAGUCCAAGGAACACUACACAAGGUGAUCAGGUGACUCCUCUAGAGGGUCAUGGAACAGAGACUGAGUUCGGAGUUGUACAUGGCAAGGAAGAGAACUUGAGAUCAGAAGAAGAGAGCGUGAGGUCUGAAGAAGGUAGCUCGAUAUCAGAAAGACCUAAGCCCAUGAUUAUCGAGGUUUGUUAAUGAGGUUUCUUUACCAAAAUUAGUGUGUGGGUCCCACCAAAAUUAUAAAAUCGGUGACAGAAAGGCAUGAGAUAAGGAUCUAUUGUGGUGGGUUUUUUGCACUGUUCGCGGACCCACCGACACGUGCCGGUCCGCGAUUGGUGCGGUUUUAAAUUUUUUUUUAUAAUUAGACAAAUUUUUUUUUUUUUAAGAAACCCAGAAGGAUUAUAGGGUCAAUGAUGCUCUAACGAAGGUAUUGCAAAAGAGUUGGAAUAGAAGGUGAUGUUGUUAUUCGUUUAUUUAUUUCACCACAAAUUCAGCUUCAUGUUCACAUACAGAAGAACAAACAUAACUGUGGAAAAAUUGUAUAGAAAAAGGAAAAGUAAAAAAAAAUUGACAUAUUGUUUAGAUGUAAAUAGGAAUAUACUUUUCUUUUUGUUACGGAUGCCCUUUGAUUCCCGAACAUCAUCUUGGCAUGUAAAUGAAACUAUAAAGAUUUAACAUUGUUUACUGCAAACUGGAACAAGUUUGAACAUAAAGAAAAGUUUCUACCACUUACAAAUGUGUUCAAAACAUGAAAAAUGUUUUUUGAAUGAUUAAAAUAUUUUGAGUUUAUAGAUCCGUACAUGUUUUAGAAAAAUCUACAUUGUAUCAUGUAAUUUAAUUCAGUUUUGGAGAACAAUCUUCUUCCAAUGGGAUGCAUAUGAUUUAUUAGAUUUUUAUUAGGUAGGUAACCCAAGAGUUUUACUGAUUCCGCCCAAGGAAUGGUACAAUGAACGACUUAAUAAACAUAAUUGCAGAUUUUCAAAAUGACCAUGAAGCUAGGCGGACAUGUUUACUUAUUGGUCAGAAACGCGACAGUUGACACGCAAGUCUCGGGAUGGGCUUUGGAAUUUAUAAAACGAGAAGUAUCAAACAUUAUUCCAUAUAUAUAACUAUGUAUUUUUCUAUGCAAUUUUAUGAAUAAUAUUUUAAAAUAUAUAAUUCAAACAUAUACAAAUACGAAUGAUAACUCUACCGUUGACAAUUACUUAAUUAAAUCUUAUACUAUUUCAAUUCUCUGUGUAAACAUAGAAUUCCGUGUCUACACUAUAACAUUUUAUUUCUGUUUGACCAUAUGGUUACUUUUUUUUUUUUUCACAGACCAAAUGGUUACUUAAAUUUAGAAUAUUAUAUGACUAACCAAUGAAAUUUAAACCAUUUUACAAUCUCUAGCUAAGUGAAUCAUCAUAAUACUCAAACCCAUUAUAGGAUAGAGUUUCUUAUUCGUAGAUAUUCAGAGUGUGAACUGAGCACAUGUCAUAGAUAAGUGACAUUUGCUAUAAGCUAAUAUUUAGUUUAGACUUAAAGAGUAGUUGACAAAAACUACAAGUUUGUUUUUAAGUUUUUUUUCUUAACUAGUGGACCUUUAAUCUAGUGGACCCUAAAAGUGGAAGAAGUAAUUAAAUUUCUACAUGUAUAUAUUUUAAAAAAAAACUGAAAUGAAAAAUUUAUGCAAGGAUGUCACGUAUAAAUCGAACAAUGGUCAAAAUUUUCAUUCAAUAUAUAAAUUAUUAAAAAAAUUACGAAAAGAGUAUGGCUGACUUUAGAGAGCAGUAUAUAAGGGUAAGAGUAUGCAUCUAAUUAACUUAAAACAACAAAGACAAUUGGUCUACUUCUCAAAUUGAUCCAAAGACCAAAGAUUCCUAAAGCUGCUUGAAACUAAAAAUGGCUCCACAAAAAUUCAUCAGAAAUGGCAUGACAAGUUUACCUCGGCUCGUAGAAGAGUAUCUCUCUAUGUUGAAGGAAACAUACGAAGGAACGGGAUUGCACCUAGCCACGCAACAAGGGGACGAGGUAUAUGCAAAGAAAAUAAUCGAGCUCUGCCCUUCCUUAGUCAUCUAUCCGCUAUUUAGCACACUGUCAAGAGCCCACAUUUCAGACACUGUUGAUAAUUAUGGAGGACACUGAUACCCCUAUACUUCAUAUUCGGUGUGUAUAGGCAAAAUAUAUUCCAAAGAUACGAUAGGAUUUGUAACAGGAUUUGUCAGACCAAAAUUACAACCCUUCUCUUGUUUAAGAUUUUAAAAAUCAAAAUUUUCAGUUUUUUUCUUUAUUCCGUCAUAUCCUAAAAAAUAAAAAAAAAAAAAAAAAAAAAAGAAGAAACCUUGAGAUUGCGGUCAACAGCAGCAACUCUAACAGCAGCUUCAGUGUUAUCUAGACAGAGAACCUUCUCGCAACAAACGGCAAUCAUCUCGGUUUUGCUAAUAUCAAAAGGCUUCCCUGAGCGGAAAGAAUAGGAAAUAAUUGGUGCGAAACGGCUAAUAGGUUCACGAAGUGGGCUCCCUAUGAUCCCCGUAAGGACCCAGUCCUUGGAGUUAUACGGGAUCAAAAAGUCGAAUGGGUACUCGUCAUGUGUAAGAGUCUUUCGAACUAAUCUCUGCAAGUAAA
Molecule: long non-coding RNA, 4332 nt
Filed under: Brassica napus (rape)
Lineage: Eukaryota; Viridiplantae; Streptophyta; Magnoliopsida; Brassicales; Brassicaceae
Description: long non-coding RNA (BNAP_LNC012830)
Source: RNAcentral